Long non-coding RNA from Mus musculus (house mouse), 233 nucleotides. RefSeq annotates it as predicted gene, 40096. The transcript is spliced from 3 exons. The record is from RefSeq and is a predicted model, not a curated record. Lineage: Eukaryota; Metazoa; Chordata; Mammalia; Rodentia; Muridae.
CAGCAGCAGGAGCAGCAGCAGCAGCAGCAGGAGCAGCAGCAGGAGCAGCAGGAGCAGCAGCAGCAGCAGGAGCAGCGUUGCUAGCAUGGGUCCCUAGAACCAUCUGUGGUGUUUUGUCCAUGUGUGUGCAGUGCCCAAAGAGGUCAGAGAGGACUUCAGAUCUAGAACGGAGUAACAGACACAUGUGAGCUUCCAUGAACCUGGAAGCAGGAGCUGAUCGAGGCCAUUGAGGA